RNAcentral lists this ribosomal RNA (253 nucleotides) under uncultured bacterium. RNAcentral's name for it is "partial 16S ribosomal RNA". It matches the Rfam family "Bacterial small subunit ribosomal RNA", at positions 524 to 776 of the family's 1533-position model. The record is from RNAcentral.
UACGGGGGGGGCAAGCGUUGUUCGGAAUUACUGGGCGUAAAGGGCUCGUAGGCGGCCAACUAAGUCAGACGUGAAAUCCCCGGGCCUAACCUGGGAACUGCAUUUGUGACUGCAUAGCUAGAGUUUGUCAGAGGGGGGUGGAAUUCCACGUGUAGCAGUGAAAUGCGUAGAUAUGUGGAGGAACACCGAUGGCGAAGGCAGCCCCCUGGGAUGUGACUGACGCUCAUGUACGAAAGCGUGGGGAGCAAACAGG